UCAGACAUGGUGCAGCGGGAACAUAGCGUCUUCUUCUGAAUUUUGCGAUGGCUGUAUUUACAGAGGCAGUCCAGGGUUCGAAUCCCUGUGUCUGAA
Molecule: non-coding RNA, 96 nt
Organism: Mycena vulgaris
Lineage: Eukaryota; Fungi; Basidiomycota; Agaricomycetes; Agaricales; Mycenaceae
Source: the annotation of a GenBank genome assembly